This 460-nucleotide ribosomal RNA is filed under the name uncultured bacterium. Its description in RNAcentral is "partial 16S ribosomal RNA". It matches the Rfam family "Bacterial small subunit ribosomal RNA", at positions 338 to 795 of the family's 1533-position model. The record is from RNAcentral.
CCUACGGGGGGCUGCAGUGAGGAAUAUUGGUCAAUGGACGGAAGUCUGAACCAGCCAUGCCGCGUGCAGGAAGACGGCUCUAUGAGUUGUAAACUGCUUUUGUACAAGGGUAAACCUGAAUACGUGUAUUCAGCUGAAAGUACUGUACGAAUAAGGAUCGGCUAACUCCGUGCCAGCAGCCGCGGUAAUACGGAGGAUCCAAGCGUUAUCCGGAUUUAUUGGGUUUAAAGGGUGCGUAGGCGGAUUGAUAAGUUAGAGGUGAAAUGUUCGAGCUUAACUCGGGAACUGCCUCUAAUACUGUUGAUCUAGAGAGUAGAUGCGGUAGGCGGAAUGUAUGGUGUAGCGGUGAAAGGCUUAGAGAUCAGACAGAACACCGAUUGCGAAGGCAGCUUACCAAUCUAUAUCGGACGUUGAGGCACGAAAGCGUGGGGAGCAAACAGGAUUAGAUACCCUGGUAGUC